RNAcentral lists this ribosomal RNA (468 nucleotides) under uncultured bacterium. RNAcentral describes it as "partial 16S ribosomal RNA". It matches the Rfam family "Bacterial small subunit ribosomal RNA", at positions 28 to 507 of the family's 1533-position model. The record is from RNAcentral.
GACGAACGCUGGCGGCGUGCUUAACACAUGCAAGUCGAACGGAAAGGCCCUGCUUUUGCGGGGUGCUCGAGUGGCGAACGGGGGAGUAACACGUGAGUAACCUGCCCUUGACUGUGGGAUAAAUUCAGGAAACUGGGGCUAAUACCGGAUAGGAGCUCCUGCUGCACGGGGGGGGUUGGAAAGUUUCGGCGGUUGGGGAUGGACGCGCGGCUUAUCAGCUUGUUGGUGGGGUAGUGGCUUACCAAGGCUUUGACGGGUAGCCGGCCUGAGAGGGUGACCGGCCACAUUGGGACUGCGAUACGGCGCAGACUCCUACGGGAGGCAGCGGUGGGGAAUAUUGCACAGUGGGCGGGAGCCUGCUGCGGCAACGCCGCGUGCGGGAUGACGGCCUUCGGGUUGUAAACCACUUUCGCCUGUGACGAAGCGUGAGUGACGGUAAUGGGUAAAGAAGCACCGGCUAACUACGUG